GAUCCUGGCUCGGAUUGAACGCUGGCGGCAGGCUUAACACAUGCAAGUCGAACGGUAACAUGAAGAAGCUUGCUUCUUUGAUGACGAGUGGCGGACGGGUGAGUAAUGCUUGGGAAUCUAGCUUAUGGAGGGGGAUAACUACGGGAAACUGUAGCUAAUACCGCGUAGAAUCGAGAGAUGAAAGUGUGGGACCUUCGGGCCACAUGCCAUAGGAUGAGCCCAAGUGGGAUUAGGUAGUUGG
RNAcentral lists this ribosomal RNA (241 nucleotides) under uncultured bacterium. RNAcentral's name for it is "partial 16S ribosomal RNA". It matches the Rfam family "Bacterial small subunit ribosomal RNA", at positions 15 to 252 of the family's 1533-position model. The record is from RNAcentral.